Molecule: RNA transcript, 4683 nt
Organism: Carassius carassius (crucian carp)
Lineage: Eukaryota; Metazoa; Chordata; Actinopteri; Cypriniformes; Cyprinidae
Gene name: extracellular sulfatase Sulf-2-like
Exons: 22
Source: RefSeq, a predicted model, not a curated record
AGAGAGAGAGAGAGAGAGAGAGAGAGAGAGAGAGCGUGCAAGGUAGUUCAGGAAAUUUAAACCACUUCAGUUUGAACUUUUUUUUUUUUACUCGUCUCCUUUAAAACUUUCCGUCCAGCCUCUCUCGCUCACACUUUUGUGUUGACAGUUACUUGAAAGUUUGUCAAACUUCGUAGCAAUGUGGUGACUGCAGUGCAACAGGCUGCAGGAAGACAGAUAUCAGGACAGAAGAGGAAAAAGUGCACCAGGACACUGACACAAGACCGGCUCGCUGGUUUGGGGGUCUCCGCCGCAGGACAGAAGGGGACAAACUGCCACCUGCCUCCCCUGCAGCUGUGUGUGAGAACAAAGAAGUCAACUAGAAGAGCUGUGAGCCUGUUACUCUGGACCAGCAGGUCCCACAAGGUGAAGUCAGUAUAAAGUGAGUGGGAGCCCUGAGAUGGCGACGCAGGGGCUGGCGGGCCGGCUCUUGGUGCUGCUGGCCGUGUUGGCGGUGGCUCAUGCCUCCAUCUUCCAGUCCAAUCAGAGACUGAAACCUCGGUUCCAGCGAGACCGGCGCAACAUCCGCCCCAACAUCAUCCUCAUCCUCACCGAUGACCAGGACACUGAAUUGGGCUCCAUGCAGGUCAUGAAUAAGACCCGGCGGAUCAUGGAACAGGGUGGAACGCACUUCUCCAACGCGUUUGUCACCACACCCAUGUGCUGUCCAUCACGCUCCUCCAUGUUGACCGGGAAGUACGCCCACAACCACAACACCUACACCAACAACGAGAACUGCUCUUCGCCCUCCUGGCAGGCCCAACAUGAGCCGCGCACUUUUGGAGUUUACCUCAACAGCACUGGCUACAGGACAGCAUUCUUUGGGAAGUAUCUGAAUGAGUAUAAUGGUACUUACAUUCCUCCGGGCUGGAGGGAGUGGGUCGCCAUGGUGAAGAAUUCCCGCUUCUACAACUACACUCUGUGCAGGAACGGCGUCCGAGAGAAACACGGAUUUGAAUACUCAAAGGACUACCUGACAGAUCUCAUUACCAAUGACAGCAUCAGUUACUUCCGUAUGUCAAAGAAGAUCUACCCUCACCGACCCAUCAUGAUGGUGAUCAGUCACGCUGCCCCUCAUGGACCGGAGGACUCGGCCCCUCAGUACACUACCGCCUUUCCCAACGCUUCACAGCACAUAACGGCCAGUUAUAACUACGCCCCUAAUCCAGACAAACACUGGAUUAUGCGUUACACCGGCCCCAUGAAGCCCAUUCACAUGGAGUUCACCAACAUGCUGCAGCGCAAGAGACUGCAGACGCUGCUGUCUGUGGAUGACAGUGUGGAGAAGAUAUACAACAUGUUGGUGGACACUAGGGAGCUGGACAACACAUACGUGAUCUACACAGCUGACCACGGAUAUCACAUCGGUCAGUUCGGACUGGUCAAGGGGAAAUCUAUGCCCUACGAGUUUGACAUCAGAGUUCCCUUUUACAUCCGUGGCCCAAAUGUGGAGGCAGGAGGCAUCAACCCCCACAUCGUGUUGAACAUAGACUUGGCCCCCACCAUCCUGGACAUCGCAGGGAUGGACGUUCCCCCAGACAUGGACGGCAAGUCCAUCCUCAAGCUUCUGGACACAGACCGCAUGAUGAACCGGUUCCAACUCAACAAGAAAGGAAAAGUGUGGAGGGACUCGUUCCUGGUGGAGAGAGGAAAACUGCUGCAUAAAGUGUUGAAUGAUGAGAAAGAUAUGGCCCAAGAGGAGAACUACCUGCCCAAAUACCAACGCGUUAAAGACCUGUGCCAGCGUGCAGAGUACCAGACUCCCUGUGAACAGAUCGGUCAGAAGUGGCAGUGUGUUGAAGAUGCCACAGGGAAGCUGAGGUUGACUAAAUGCAAAGGCAUGGCACGUCUGUCUGCAGUGCAGAAGCCAUCUGUAUCCAGCAUUAAAUCACAGAUUUAUCUGCAGAGCAUGAGCGCUGAUGUCAGCGUGAACUCUGAGCCUCAAGGCUGCAACUGCGAACCCAAAAGCUACAGACUGAGCACCUUCUCCAAGAAUAAGCUGCUUGCCAAAAAGAAACUGAAAUCACUGAAGAGCUACUCCAGGAACCGCUUUACUCGUGCUGCUUUCAUGGAGAUGGGAGGAGACCUGUACGCAGUGGACCUGGAUCAUGAACACCGACCCUCAGGCACCUCGGGCCCCAGGAACCGCAGCCUCAGGCAGAACACAGCGGACGAGGACGAGUUCAGCGGUGUGGGACCCACUGCAGUCAGCCAGACCAGCAACAGCCUCACUGUGCCCUCCUCUAUUAAAGUCACUCACAGAUGUUCCAUUUUGGCCAAUGAUACAGUAAAAUGUGACGUUGGUCUGUACAAAUCGCUGCAAGCAUGGAAGGACCACAAGCUCCACAUCGACCACGAAAUUGAAACACUCCAGACAAAGAUUAAUAACCUUCGUGAGGUCAGAGGUCAUCUGAAAAAGGCACGACCUGAAGAGUGUGACUGCAACAAAUACUAUUACCAAUCCAAGUACAAGAGUAAGCUGAGGAAAUACAAAGCAGGAGGUGUCCAUCCCUUCAGGAAAGGACAGGAGAAGGAUAAGAAGGCUUGGUUGUUGCUGGAACAAAAGCGCAGGAAGAAGCUGAGGAAGUUACUGAAGCGCCUGCGUAACAAUGACACCUGCAGCAUGCCUGGCCUCACCUGCUUCACACACGACAACCAGCACUGGCAGACCGCUCCCUUCUGGACACUGGGGCCGUUUUGUGCGUGCACCAGUGCUAAUAACAACACCUACUGGUGCAUGAGGACCAUUAAUGAGACACACAACUUCCUGUUCUGUGAAUUUGCUACUGGAUUCCUGGAGUACUUUGACAUCAACAUGGAUCCAUAUCAGUUGGUGAAUGCAGUGAACACACUUGACCGGUUUGUUCUCAAUCAGCUGCAUGUUGAGCUCAUGGAGCUCAGGGGCUGUAAGGGACACAAGCAGUGUAACCCUCGCACACGCAGCCUUGACAUGGGGGGUAAAGAGAGAAGCAGCUAUGAUGAAUACAGACAGCUUGGAGCUUAAACGUGAAUGUUGAAUAGUCUGAUGCACAUCACACACACCUAAAGGCAUCACAGGAAUACACUCCUCACACUGUCAAAUCAAGGAGAAGACCUCUCUGUCAAAGAGGAUUGACAUAAAAACUAGAACUGAUUUGAUAUCAAUUGUUUUUAAAGGAAUGUUUGGCUCUACUCUAGAAUAAGUCAGAAUGCAUAAUAAUAACUUAUUCAUCAGUUUGUAAAAAUAAAAACCAGGUAUUCAGUAAUGCACGUACAAUGGAAGUCUGUGGCGCAAGAUAUUCUGGUAUUUUUAAAAACACAUGAAUUCUUCUGUACAAAAACAAAAAUGCAUUACUUGUGUUGCACAGCUGUCUAAAACGCCCUUUAAUGCAAACUCUAGGUGGAUGAACUUCCAGUUACUAACCUGCAGGUGGCGUUUUUCACGUAAAGUGUCUUUCUGGUGUCCUUAACAUCAAUAAUGUAAAAAGUCACAAAGUAUCCUGUCUUUGCUCCACAGACUUAAUUGUAACUGUAAACCAUUUUUUGCUGUUUUUAGAGGAUGACCAAUGAAUUUUGUUGAUAAUUAGUUUGGGAAAACUAUUUUAAAAAAUGUGAAUGAAAUAUAGUGCUAAUAAUUGGUACAAAAUGAACAAUAAAUACUUAAGAUGAUUAUUGAAUAAAACUAAUAUAAUCAGUUUAUAAUAUUGUAAUAUGAAAUAUAUGUAUGAUGCACAAAAAAGGGCUAAAGAAAAAAAUCUAAAAAUUGUUAACUGGUGGCACCAAUUAAUCAGUAAAAUCAGUAACAGCAAACCUCAAACAAUCUCAUAUUAUUUUCUGUGGUGACUGGCAGGACAGAGAUUAACUAAUGAACCCAGAACAUUUAUAAAAUGGCAAAAAGCUAACAUUACAUUAACACUGUCAGACUCCAGGGGGGGAAAAUGUUCAUCCAAAAUAUGGGAAACAUUUUUUGAAACAAGUUUAAACAGAAAAGCAACUAAAUAAUAUAAAAUAAAGAAUAAAAAUAUCGAAAAAAAAAAUUGCAUGCAAAAUGGAUGUGAAGAAAUUGGAACAUCAUACAUGAUUAACAAAUCCCCAGGCCAGGGAAACAUGUAAUAUCAUAGAGGUUUAUUUAUAUCACACUGCCAUUCAAAAGUUUGGGGUCAGUACAUUUGUCAUUACAUUACCUUUUUUUAAGCUAAUAGUUAGUUCUUAUGAACAUCAUGAGCAACCAAACCCACCCAUUCAGUAUGUGGGUCCAAUUACAACCAGUUCAAGUCGCAGUUACUUCCUUGACAGAUCAGAUGUCUUCUCUUUCAGAUUCUGUUCUCUCUCUCUGUCUUCGCCUUUCUAGUUUUGUCUCCCUCUCUCUAGCCCUGUUCUGUGCCUUGCAUGUAUUCAGCCUUGGGUGUUGUGUGAAUGUGAAAGCCUUUGAGUUCUCUGAUUGGCUCUGUCUACCAUUAUGCUUGAGUUUGGGGGCGGGGUAACAGUUUGUCUUAUCGUUGCUUGUCGCAUUAGGCAGUUUCAGCGCCGGAAAUGGCCUAAAGUGAGGAAGCCUGUCUCCAAAUCGCUGGGACAGAUAUGGGAAGGAUGGGAAGGAUAACUCAUGGAACGAGGACGUCCAGGAAGACACAAACAUGUUUCCUGGUGAGCCAAACCAGUCCGAAC